This 361-nucleotide long non-coding RNA is filed under the name Vigna radiata. RNAcentral describes it as "long non-coding RNA (VRAD_LNC014425)". The record is from RNAcentral. Lineage: Eukaryota; Viridiplantae; Streptophyta; Magnoliopsida; Fabales; Fabaceae.
UUUCAAGGACCCACAGACAAACUGAUACAGACCCAAAUCUUAUUGGGCUCAAUGAACCCUUGAUCCAAGAAGAAACAGCCAAGCAUAGGUGGGACAGAGUAUAUGAGAGGAAAAAGAGUAGGAAAGGUGACGUGGCAUAGUCGAGGGGAAUAGGUUGGUUAGAAGAGAGAGAAAUGGGUGUGGUUGUUUAAAAGAGAAUCUGGAAGAAAGUUUUGGGGACGGUUAGUUGUUUUUUUCGUAGAGAGGGAGCCAUUCUUGGUUUCUCUGAGGAGCUUGGCUCUGGGCAGUGAGUUAUUCAUAUCUUACUGAUUUUCUAGUUUUGCAGAGAAUAAAAUACACUCAUAUUCAGUCUUCAUUUGAU